RNAcentral lists this long non-coding RNA (216 nucleotides) under Mytilus galloprovincialis (Mediterranean mussel). Lineage: Eukaryota; Metazoa; Mollusca; Bivalvia; Mytilida; Mytilidae. The record is from RNAcentral.
UUGUGUGUUUCUUAGUCCUGUCAUGUAAUGUUGUCAUUUUAAUGUUAUAUUGAACAUUGCCAUAAAAGCGGGAGAUUUGGCUUGCCACAAAACCAGGUUCAACCCACCAUUUGUUCUUGACAAAACAAUGAUUCCGGAAACGUAUCUUGUUUGCUCGCACCAUCGUCUUCAGAAUACACAUAUUUUUAUUAUCACAAGUUUUUCAAACUUUUGAAC